AUGACAGAGAAAGCUGGGAAGAGCUGCCAUCGGUCAGAAUUUACUUGAUGGCAUGCAGCAGUGAUCAUGACGAGAAUUGUUCACUGCACUGGGGCAGACAGCAAAUCCUAUGGUCCAUACAGGAGAAGAACAAAAUUCUUGAAGGAUCCUCAGUCUUCUUCUCCUAGAAAGAGAUGGAGGUGUUUUGGAAAACAGGGGGGUCACCGAGGCUUCAGCUGUCUUUUGCAUUGCUUUCAGCAAAUCCGUGACCCGAAAACACCUGAACAAGGCAAACCUUCUCAGCAGACAAUAAAUAAGUCAGUCUAAUUUAAGACUCAGAGCAGUGCAGCACACCCAGAAAUUGAAUUGGCUGCUUUCCUCCUUUGCCCAAGGUUCCUUUCCUGCUGGUCAGGGAGACAGGUGCUUCGAAUUAUUUCACUUCUGACUGGUAGGUUAAAGGGAAGCAAUCACCUUGAUUGCACAAAAGAGAUCCCAGUAACCAAUUUCUUUGUGUGUGUGUCCCUGACAUCCAAACUUCUCCUCAGGCAAUUACUUGCAGAAGGUCUCAUUGGUCACCUAUUAGUCAUGGGGAUGUUAUACAAAAGCCCAAAGCAACCUGCAUAUCUUUCUUGGUCUGCCCUUAAUUUCAUGUUGAGUGUCACUUCAGAGUUAAGAAAGAAGUCUGCAGUGGCCUUGAGUAACAGCUGAAGGUGGAAGAUUGUCUGAGGUGGAAAACUGCUCAUUGAAGACUACAUUCCCAGCAAGUGCUUGAGGAGAUCAAAGUCUUAUUUGUCC
This 774-nucleotide long non-coding RNA is filed under the name Pogona vitticeps (central bearded dragon). RNAcentral's name for it is "lncRNA (ENSPVIG00000014284.1)". Lineage: Eukaryota; Metazoa; Chordata; Lepidosauria; Squamata; Agamidae. The record is from RNAcentral.